This 468-nucleotide ribosomal RNA is filed under the name uncultured bacterium. RNAcentral describes it as "partial 16S ribosomal RNA". It matches the Rfam family "Bacterial small subunit ribosomal RNA", at positions 28 to 507 of the family's 1533-position model. The record is from RNAcentral.
GACGAACGCUGGCGGCGUGCUUAACACAUGCAAGUCGAACGGAAAGGCCCUGCUUUUGUGGGGUGCUCGAGUGGCGACCGGGUGAGUAACACGUGAGUAACCUGCCCUUGACUUUGGGGUAACUUCAGGCAACUGGGGCUAAUACCGGAUAGGAGCUCCUGCUGCAUGGUGGGGGUUGGAAAGUUUCGGCGGUUGGGGAUGGACUCGCGGCUUAUCAGCUUGUUGGGUGGGUAGUGUCUUACCAAGGCUUUGACGGGUAGCCGGGCUGAGCGGGUGACAGGCCACGCUGGGAUUGGGAUACGACCCAGACUCCUACGGUACGCAACGGUGGAGAAGAGUGUACAGGGGACGGGAGCAUGACGUAGCAACGCAGCGCGCGGUAUGAGGGGCAUGGGGUUGGAUUGUACAGUCGCCUGUGCCGGAGUGAGAAUGACGGUAACGGGUGAAGAAGCACCGGCUAACUACGUG